This 528-nucleotide ribosomal RNA is filed under the name Campsicnemus sp. 13 KRG-2014. RNAcentral describes it as "partial 16S ribosomal RNA". The stretch from base 395 to 528 matches the Rfam family "Bacterial large subunit ribosomal RNA", at positions 2473 to 2606 of the family's 2925-position model. The record is from RNAcentral. Lineage: Eukaryota; Metazoa; Arthropoda; Insecta; Diptera; Dolichopodidae.
AAACAUGUCUUUUUGAAUUUAAAUAUAAAGUCUAAUCUGCCCACUGAUAAAUUAUUUAAUGGCCGCAGUAUUUUAACUGUGCAAAGGUAGCAUAAUAAUUAGUUUUUUAAUUGAAGGCUUGUAUGAAUGAUUGGACGAGAUAUAAACUGUCUCAUAAAAAUUUUUUUAGAAUUUAAUUUUUUAGUUAAAAAGCUAAAAUAAAUUUAAAAGACGAGAAGACCCCAUAGAUCUUUAUAUUUUUUUUUAUUAUUAUUUUUUAGUUUUUUUAUAAAUUAAUAAAUAAAAAUAUUUUGUUGGGGUGACAUUGAAAUUUAAUAAACUUUCAAAAUUUAAUAACAUUAAUUUAUGAAUUUAUGAUCCUUUAUUAUUGAUUAAAAAUUUAAGUUACCUUGGGGAUAACAGCGUAAUUAUUUUGGAGAGUUCAUAUUGAUAAAAUAGAUUGCGACCUCGAUGUUGGAUUAAGAUUAAUUUUGGAUGCAGCAGUUCAAAUUAUUAAGUCUGUUCGACUUUUAAUUUCUUACGUGAUCU